GGUGGAGAAAUCAUCUUUGCAGGUGUGUAACUUGCAGCAGUUACUACAAAAAGAUGGGAAUUGACUAUCUUACUGAGCAAGAAGACUCCCUUGAGGAAUAUGAGAAGCUGGGAAAGCAGAGGCGGGAAGAGAAGCUGCAACAACAGGAAGGCGCUGAGCUGAGUUUUCUCAAUGGACUUGAUCAUGUUCAAAAGAUUGAAAUUCUGAGUGGCAUUAACGACAUGAAGAACGAGCUCACUUCCUUUCUGGAAUCUUUUGAUUCAUCAAAACCUAUCACCCCAGCUGAUGUACAAGAGGUGUUUGAUAAUCUUAUCAAGAAGAAGAAACAAAGGAUACU
RNAcentral lists this unclassified non-coding RNA (337 nucleotides) under Hevea brasiliensis (rubber tree). Lineage: Eukaryota; Viridiplantae; Streptophyta; Magnoliopsida; Malpighiales; Euphorbiaceae. The record is from RNAcentral.